Molecule: ribosomal RNA, 1644 nt
Filed under: Triticum aestivum (bread wheat)
Lineage: Eukaryota; Viridiplantae; Streptophyta; Magnoliopsida; Poales; Poaceae
Description: partial small subunit ribosomal RNA
Source: RNAcentral
AUGGAUCUCAAGAACACCACCACCAACACCACGUUAGUCCAGCGCUUGGGCAGCAACGAAGUUCGGCUGCUCCGCGUAGAACUUCUGGUCCUCUUCAGCACCUUGGCGUGGAUCCUCCUCGAGCGGUUCGGCUCAUUCCGCCGGCGGUACAGUCACGGCUUCUUCCGCCUCCUCAUAUGGACGGUGUACACACUAUCCACUGUGCUGGCGCCCUACACCGUCGGUCUGCUGCAGGCUGGUCCAUUCCGCGACCAGACGUUCGUCCUCUGGGGCACCAUCCUCCUCCUGAUCCAAGUACACUCUGACUCCCUCUCAGUCUACAGUAUUCAGGAUAUUGAACAGAGGAAAAAGAUGCUAGCGCAGCAAGCGUUGCAGAUCUUUCUGGUGCUAUGGCUGAUCAUCAAUGGUAGUGGUGGCAACAAGAGUUACAGAGCUACCAUAUGGAUUGUCUAUAUUCUCAGCAUCAUUCAGGCAUUCAGAAAGUUUAGGCAUCUAAGUAAGGCGAGCAAAAAGGGGGGUUUGGUGGAGCGUUCUAAAGUGAUUGCUGAUCACAUGAGAGUUGAAUUAAAAGAGGUGACCAGUGUCAAGUACAUCACCAUUGAUUCUGUUUGGCGAUGGAUUGAGUCUGGCGGCUUCGAGCACAAGGAAACUGCGGAAGGCUCGGUGAAGCUGGCCUUGGAAGACACUGCAUCUCGUUCCGGGGAUGAAGGGAGCUAUGUUGGCACUUUUCAAGUUAUUGAGGAGGAGUUGUCAUUCCUGUUUGGAAUAGUGUGGAAACUCUGCCUAGAAGUUCCGAAUGAUACUCCCACAAAUCCACAAACAAAAACUGAGACAUGGAGUCCCACAGCAGGAGAGACGUGGGAAAGAAAGCUCGGGCAGUACUCUCUGUUACUCAACUUCGACUAUGAUCCGUGGAAUGCAUUGUCUUUUCUGUCACUAGGCUUGAUCGAGGCUACGAGAAAAGGACAGAAGGCUGGGGAGAAGAUAAAACUGGCAGAUACUGUCAUCGUACACGUCCUCUCUCAGUUCAAAAACAACAACGGCAAGGUAGAAAAUGGACAAUCAGCUACAAAUCAGCUGGGAAGCCAAUUCUCAUGGGCCUGCACCUUGCCAACACAUAUCCACACGAUCCUUGUAUGGCAUAUUGCCACAACCAUCUCCUGGAACGAGGUGCCGCUGGAGGGCAACUUGGAUCGUCUUGUUGCCGUGAGCCUGUCAGAUUACUGUGCCUACCUGGUAGCUUUUGUUCCGGACAUGCUGCCUGGACAUGGCCACGACACACGGUGCACAUUCGACGCUGUGGUGCUGGAGGCUCAGCAGUGCCUUGCCGAAUGUGAAACUGUGAGCAACAGAUGUGAGAAGCUGGUGAGGGGCUUGGGCGGCAUGGGCGGCACAGGCACAAUCUUAUAUAUGGGAGCCAAGCUUGGGAGGCAACUUAGAGACAUGGUCCCCGACCAAGAGCAGCGUUGGAAGGUGUUGGCCGACUUUUGGGCAGAGUUCAUACUCUUCCUGGCGCCAUCUGACAAUACAGAGAUCCAUGGGGAGAAGCUGUCCGCUGGUGGUGAGUUCAUGACACAUCUCUGGGCGCUUCUCACUCAUGCCGGCAUCCUGGAGCGGCCCUCUUCCUCCUCUGGGAGGGAUUAA